GAAAGAAAGGAAGAAGAAGAAGAAAAAGGGUUCAAGCUAGGGUAAGGUUUUUGGUUAUUUUUCCUUAUGAUUAAUCUAGUAUUAUUUCUUGGGUUGUCUCUAACCUUGUUCAUCUUCUUCUUCAUCUUGAUCAUUCAAAAUAUACAACCCCCUAGGGUUUGAGCAAGGAGGAUUAUUGGACUCUUGGUUGGAUUUGAUUCUUGAUUUUCUAUCAAGAAGAGGUAGCAAAUAGGAUUUCUUUAUGGCACGCGUGGUGACGUGAGGAGUUCUUUCAUCAUGGGGUGUAUGGCGUGGGGUAAUCCUAUGGACGGAAAAACGAUCAACGUAGAACGCCAUUUAAAUUAUGUUUUGUUUUUAAGAGACUUUCCUAAAUUAUCAGUGGGACUCAGUUAUUAAAUUUUUGGUUUCUUUGAACUUUGCAUAAAAAUCUAUGUUUUAUUUUAAAACUUAUGGCGCCAACUUGCAUGGUUUUAAACAAGUCCCCCUGAGACUUUGAUAAUGAAUGGUAUUCUUUUAUAAACUA
Molecule: long non-coding RNA, 523 nt
Organism: Humulus lupulus (European hop)
Lineage: Eukaryota; Viridiplantae; Streptophyta; Magnoliopsida; Rosales; Cannabaceae
Exons: 2
Source: RefSeq, a predicted model, not a curated record